Molecule: ribosomal RNA, 490 nt
Filed under: uncultured bacterium
Lineage: Bacteria
Description: partial 16S ribosomal RNA
Rfam family: Bacterial small subunit ribosomal RNA
Source: RNAcentral
AUUGAACGCUGGCGGCAUGCCUUACACAUGCAAGUCGAACGGCAGCAUGAUCUAGCUUGCUAGAUUGAUGGCGAGUGGCGAACGGGUGAGUAAUACAUCGGAACGUGCCCUGUAGUGGGGGAUAACUAGUCGAAAGAUUAGCUAAUACCGCAUACGACCUGAGGGUGAAAGUGGGGGACCGCAAGGCCUCAUGCUAUAGGAGCGGCCGAUGUCUGAUUAGCUAGUUGGUGAGGUAAAGGCUCACCAAGGCGACGAUCAGUAGCUGGUCUGAGAGGACGAUCAGCCACACUGGGACUGAGACACGGCCCAGACUCCUACGGGAGGCAGCAGUGGGGAAUUUUGGACAAUGGGCGAAAGCCUGAUCCAGCAAUGCCGCGUGUGUGAAGAAGGCCUUCGGGUUGUAAAGCACUUUUGUCCGGAAAGAAAUGGUUCUGGUUAAUACCUGGGGUCGAUGACGGUACCGGAAGAAUAAGGACCGGCUAACUACGUG